RNAcentral lists this ribosomal RNA (497 nucleotides) under uncultured bacterium. RNAcentral describes it as "partial 16S ribosomal RNA". It matches the Rfam family "Bacterial small subunit ribosomal RNA", at positions 28 to 507 of the family's 1533-position model. The record is from RNAcentral.
GAUGAACGCUGGCGGCGUGCCUAAUACAUGCAAGUCGAGCGAACGGACGAGAAGCUUGCUUCUCUGAUGUUAGCGGCGGACGGGUGAGUAACACGUGGAUAACCUACCUAUAAGACUGGGAUAACUUCGGGAAACCGGAGCUAAUACCGGAUAAUAUUUUGAACCGCAUGGUUCAAAAGUGAAAGACGGUCUUGCUGUCACUUAUAGAUGGAUCCGCGCUGCAUUAGCUAGUUGAUAAGGUAACGGCUUACCAAGGCAACGAUGCAUAGCCGACCUGAGAGGGUGAUCGGCCACACUGGAACUGAGACACGGUCCAGACUCCUACGGGAGGCAGCAGCAGGGAAUCUUCCGCAAUGGGCGAAAGCCUGACGGAGCAACGCCGCGUGAGUGAUGAAGGUCUUCGGAUCGUAAAACUCUGUUAUUAGGGAAGAACAUAUGUGUAAGUAACUGUGCACAUCUUGACGGUACCUAAUCAGAAAGCCACGGCUAACUACGUG